Molecule: ribosomal RNA, 257 nt
Filed under: uncultured prokaryote
Description: partial 16S ribosomal RNA
Rfam family: Bacterial small subunit ribosomal RNA
Source: RNAcentral
UACAGAGGGUGCAAGCGUUAAUCGGAAUUACUGGGCGUAAAGCGAGCGUAGGUGGCUUGAUAAGUCAGAUGUGAAAAUCCCCCGGGCUUAACCUGGGAACUGCAUCUGAUACUGUUAGGCUAGAGUAGGUGAGAGGAAGGUAGAAUUCCCAGGUGUAGCGGUGAAAUGCGUAGAGAUCUGGAGGAAUACCGAUGGCGAAGGCAGCCUUCUGGCAUCAUACUGACACUGAGGUUCGAAAGCGUGGGUAGCAAACAGGA